RNAcentral lists this long non-coding RNA (1565 nucleotides) under Scleropages formosus (Asian bonytongue). Its description in RNAcentral is "lncRNA (ENSSFOG00015024288.1)". The record is from RNAcentral. Lineage: Eukaryota; Metazoa; Chordata; Actinopteri; Osteoglossiformes; Osteoglossidae.
AUGUUGCUCAGUUCUAGGGAUGAAAAAAGCUGUCAAACACCUUGUUUAUUUUUAGAGCUCUGUGGGCUGGCUUUCCAGAUCAACAGAUCAAUCGAAGAGCUGGACAAAAUGAUCACGGGUAGGCUCCAGACAGCCCGGGACUGCAGCACGAUGGAGUUCACCUCUUCUGGCAAACUGGGUGUGGGUUUAGUGGUUAGAACAACUUGAAGGUCCCUAAUUUGAAUCCUACCUCCUGCUGUAGUAUCCUUGAUCAUGCUACUUACCUUGAAUUACUCCAGUAAAAAUGACCCAUCUGUAUAAAUGACUAAAUUAUUAUAAGUAACUUACAUUUACAUGACAUACAUUUAUUAGUUUAGCAGAUGCUUUUCUCCAAAGCGAAGUACAUCUCAGAGAAAAUAUAAUUUGUACUUUACAUUAGGAGAAAGAGACACAGUUGCAGACGUGAUUCUUAAGAAAACCUAAUAUGUUACUUUCCACUUGAUGCACCGAUGUUCACCGCUCGAGUAGGUGCAUAAAACUCAGGAUUGACUAACCCUGAUCACCUUCCCAAAUUUUUUUUUUUUAAAGGUACACAAACAUUUACAUACAAUACAGGAGUAGCGGCUGUGUAAAGGCUUAUCUGUGCAUGAUCAUAAAGUGAGGGUGCAUCACCAUUUACAUCAUACUUGAACUUAAGAGAUGAUGGGCGUAGUGAUUCCGGAAAAGGUGUUUUCAGACCCUUCUUGAAUGUAGACAGAGAUUCAGCAGUUCUGAGUGCGAGGGGGAGGUCGUUCCACCACGAUGGAGCCAGAACUGAGAACCUCCGCUCUUUACUUUUCAUGCGCGAGACCACCAAGCAAGUAGACGUAGACGAGCGAAGGGGUCUGGCUGGGGUGUAGCGGUUGAUCAAGUCUUGUGAAUAGCUGGGAGCAGUUCUACUGAUGCAUUUGUAGACAAUAACCAGGGUCUUGAAUUUGAUCAGGGCAGCUAUAGGAAGCCAGUGCAGAGAAAUGAGUAGAGGAGAUAAUGGGAGCGCUUUGGCAAAUCAAACAUGACUCGGGCAGUAGCAUUCUGUAUCAGUUGUAGAGGUUUGAUUGCAGUAGUGACUUAACUCUCAUGACCAUGCCCACACCUCAACCAGCAGCACCUGACUCCGUUUGAAAUACUUGGCUAUAAAAAGCACCACUCAACCAUAUUCCAGUUGUGGAAUCUCUUUGAAAUGACUGGCCCUCCUAUGAUCACCUCUUGUCCAGAGCACCCUAUCUGCUCUCCCCUGUCUACUGCCCUAGUUCCCUCGCCCGUCUCCUGUCCCUUUUCCUGUCUACUACGGCAUCGACCCUCGCGAUGUCCUCAUUAACCACAUCCUCGGAUUCUCCCCACUUACUACAUCUGCGCCUCGGAUUUACCACGACUGUCCCUGACUACAAGUACUACCUUGUCCCAAGAACCAUCACAACAAAUGAUCCCGCGAUUGGAUCCACACCCGGGUUUCCAGUUUGCUUGUAGUGACAUUAAAUUUUUAUGCUGCCUGGAGAAAAAUGUCAGCUAAAUGAAUAACCAAAAUAAAAAGAGCUUUAUUGAUCGCA